UUUAAUGUGGCAGAAAAGUGCCAUGGAUUUAAGCUCCAUUCAUAAAGGUUGUUUUUAAUUCCUUUCAUUAAAA
Molecule: transfer RNA, 73 nt
Filed under: Trigomphus carus
Lineage: Eukaryota; Metazoa; Arthropoda; Insecta; Odonata; Gomphidae
Description: tRNA-Leu
Source: RNAcentral